UAGAAAGGGCGGCNGGUAUAGGCUGCAAGUCGAGCGAGAACCCCGCAAGGGGGGACAGCGGCAAACGGGGUAGUAAUGUGUCGGAACGUGCCCAGAGGACGGGGAUAGCGGCGGGAAACUGCCGGUAAUACCCGAUGAUCUCGAGAGAGCAAAGGUGUGAUUCCGCCUUUGGAGCGGCCGACAUGGUAUUAGCUAGUUGGCGGGGUAACGGCCCACCAAGGCUUUUGAUGCCUAGGGGAUGUGAGAGCAUGAUCCCCACCAUUGGGACUGAGACACUGCCCAGACACCUACGGGUGGCUGCAGUCGAGAAUCUUCGUCAAUGGGCGAAAGCCUGAACGAGCGACGCCGCGUGCGGGAUGAAGGCCUUUGGGUUGUAAACCGCUGUUCGAGGGGGAUGAAGGCAUUUCAGGUACUCCUGAAUGUUUUGACAGAGCCCCUGGAGGAAGCACGGGCUAAGUUUCGUGGCCACCAGUCCGCGNUAAAUACGAAACUUGUCGCCCAACGUUAAUUUCGGAAUCCACUGGGGNCUUAACAGGGUGGCGUAAGGCCGGCUUAUUUUCAAGUUUCAGGUUGUUGAAAGCCCCCUUCCUCUACAAACCCCCGAAGGAAACUGGCUGCUUUGUAAAACCCCGAAUGGCUUC
RNAcentral lists this ribosomal RNA (641 nucleotides) under uncultured bacterium. RNAcentral's name for it is "bacterial SSU rRNA". The stretch from base 9 to 495 matches the Rfam family "Bacterial small subunit ribosomal RNA", at positions 39 to 535 of the family's 1533-position model. The record is from RNAcentral.